This is an RNA transcript of Setaria italica (foxtail millet), 2760 nucleotides long. It is a transcript of the gene named cryptochrome-1, with no coding region annotated. The transcript has 6 exons. Lineage: Eukaryota; Viridiplantae; Streptophyta; Magnoliopsida; Poales; Poaceae. The record is from RefSeq and is a predicted model, not a curated record.
AAGGAGAAAAGUUAGAUCAAAUCCAGCCAACCAAUCCCGAUAUCCACAGCCUCUUUCUCCAUUGGACCAGAGCUGUCCCAACUAAAACCAGAACUCCAGAAGCACCAAAUGCAAGAGCACCAACACCGAACAAAAACAUAAUCAAAUUGCGAGCCAGAAAUACAAAGAAAAAUAUUACUCCUACGACUCGUGCGCACACUCCUCAACUGUUCUUGGGAAUCUUGGGAGGAAGAAAGUAGAGAGUUCCCUGAGCUCCUUGCCAGUUCUUGCUUCAUGGUUUCUUGAGGUCCUCUCUUGACCCAAGAACUCGGGGGGUUUCUUGGAUUGUCCUGCCAUGUCGGUCUCGUCCUCGCCCAUGUGUGGCGGAGGGGACACCGGGAUGAGGAUCGUGGUGUGGUUCCGGAGGGACCUCAGGGUGGAGGACAACCCGGCGCUUGCGGCGGCCGCGCGCGCCGGCGGGGAGGUGGUGCCGGCGUACGUGUGGUCGCCGGAGGAGGAUGGCCCUUACUAUCCGGGGCGAGUCUCCCGGUGGUGGAUCAGCCAGAGCCUGCAGCAUCUGGACGCCUCGCUCCGCCGGCUAGGGGCAGGAAAGCUCGUCACGCGGAGGUCGGACGACGCCGUCGUCGCGCUGCUCCAGCUCGUCCGCGACACCGGCGCCACGCACGUCUACUUCAAUCAUCUCUACGACCCGAUCUCACUGGUCAGGGACCACCGGCUGAAGGAGAUGCUGACGGCUGAGGGCAUCGUUGUGCAAUCUUUCAAUGCAGAUCUGCUGUAUGAGCCAUGGGAAGUUGUCGAUGAUGAAGGGCAACCAUUCACCAUGUUUGCCCCGUUCUGGAACAGGUGCCUAAGCAUGCCGUAUGAUCCCCCCGCGCCACUUCUGCCCCCAAAGAAGAUCAAUUCAGGUGACUUAACAAUGUGCCCAUCGGAUGAUCUUAUCUUUGAGGAUGAGUCAGAGAGGGGAAGCAAUGCUCUUCUGGCCCGAGCAUGGACACCAGGAUGGCAGAAUGCAGACAAGGCCCUAACGGCCUUCCUCAACGGUCCACUGGCUGACUAUUCAGUGAACCGCAAGAAGGCUGAUAGUGCGAGCACAUCCCUACUGUCACCUCACCUUCAUUUCGGUGAGCUUAGCGUGCGCAAGGUCUUCCAUCUAGUUCGUAUGAAGCAGCUUGUGUGGAGCAACGACGGCAACCACGCUGCUGAGGAGAGCUGCACCCUGUUUCUCGGUUCCAUUGGCCUGCGGGAGUACUCCCGGUAUCUGAGCUUCAACCAUCCAAGCAGCCAUGAGAGGCCCCUCUUGGCACACCUCAGGUUUUUCCCCUGGGUGGUCAAUGAGUGCUACUUCAAGAUUUGGAGGCAGGGAAGGACUGGGUACCCGCUUGUUGAUGCUGGCAUGAGGGAACUGUGGGCGACAGGGUGGUUGCAUGACCGGAUACGUGUGGUGGUGUCAAGCUUCUUUGUCAAGGUCCUUCAACUUCCAUGGCGAUGGGGUAUGAAGUACUUUUGGGACACUUUACUGGAUGCUGAUCUUGAGAGUGAUGCACUGGGCUGGCAGUACAUCACUGGCUCUCUUCCUGAUGGCCGAGAGCUUGACCGCAUUGACAACCCUCAGUUUGAAGGCUACAAGUUCGACCCACAUGGGGAGUAUGUGCGACGGUGGAUUCCGGAGCUUGCAAGGCUGCCGACAGAAUGGAUACAUCACCCAUGGGAUGCACCUGUUUCCGUGCUGCAAGCUGCAGGAAUUGAGUUGGGCUCCAACUAUCCUCUCCCCAUAAUUGAGCUAGACGCAGCCAAAGCCAGGCUGCAAGAAGCCCUGUCAGAAAUGUGGCAGCUGGAGGCCGCAUCAAGGGCCACAAUGAACAAUGGAAUGGAGGAAGGCCUCGGAGACUCCUCAGAGGUUCCACCGAUUGAGUUUCCUCGAGAAUUACAUAUGGAAAUCGAUCGGCAGCCAGCCCAGGCAACGGCCAAUGUGCCGACUACUGCUCGGAGGCGUCAGGAUCAGAUGGUGCCUACCAUGACGUCUUCACUGAACAGAGCUGAAACAGCGGUUUCUGCCGACCUGGGGAACAGUGAGGAUACUAGAGCACAGGUUCCGUUUCAUGCACAUAUCGAACCUCGAGUUCAAAGGGAAGAUGCAAAUGCAAUCCAAAAUGCAGAAGGCCCUGCUCUUAGAAUCCAUGGUGUUCACCAGCCAAACUUCUUUCAGCAACCUCAGCAUCGUAGGCGAGAAGCUGUUGCGCCAUCGGUGUCCGAGGCGUCAAGUAGCUGGACCGGAAGAGAAGGCGCUGUAGUCCCAGUUUGGUCACCUCCUGCUGCAUCAGGCCAUUCAGAAACUUUUGCUGCUGAUGAAGCUGACGUUUCUAGUAGGAGUUAUUGGAUAGGCAUCCACAGUCGCACCGGUUGAUGAACUGGAGUCAGCUACCCCAGUCAUUGUGAGUUCGGAUGCACCAUAACCCAUUGUUCUCAGACAACAGGCUGGGAACUGGAAAAUUCCGUGCAGCCAAACUUAAUUGGUUAGGGUUUUCUGAUGGAUGUGCAAACCAGGCAGCUCGUUCCUGUAUGUGAUAAUAGUUGUGUAAAUCUAAUCCACUAGAACUUGUGCGAUCGGUAUAGGGUGGUUGGCUUAAAAAGAAUCACUGUUGUUGAUCAGACAAUGAAGGUUUUCCUGUAAUUUCGAGCUUUUUUCUUGGAGGUGUGUUAUGUAUGUAACUGUGCAUUCCCUUGUGUUUCUCUGUUUGACCAUCGGCGACCUUUGGUUAC